Molecule: long non-coding RNA, 811 nt
Organism: Bos indicus x Bos taurus (hybrid cattle)
Lineage: Eukaryota; Metazoa; Chordata; Mammalia; Artiodactyla; Bovidae
Source: Ensembl
UAAUGCCUUUAAGUCCAUCUGUGUUAUUGCAAACAGUAGGAUUUCCUCAGUUUUAUGGGUAAAUAAUAUUCAUACAUAUAUAUAUAUAUAUAUGAUGGAAUUGUUAGUUUCUUGACUAUAUUCAUGAGAUGUGAUUACAUAGCAGAAAAUAUAUACUAAUAAACUUAGAUGUACAGGGUAUCAUGUGUACGACUUACUUGAAAUAUUUCAGAAAAAAAUUUUAGAUACAGGUAUAUUGUCACCAACACUUAUAUCUUUAUCCAGGGCUUCCCUCGUGGCUCAGUGGUAAGGAAUUCACUUGCCAAUGCAGGAGGUGUCAGCUUGAUCCCUGGGUCGGAAAGAUCCCCUGGAGAAGGAAAUGGCAACUCACUCCAAUAUUCUUGCCUGGGAAAUCCCAUGGACAGAGGAGUCUGGCGGGCUACAGUCGGUGGGAUUGUAGAAGAGUCAGAUAUGACUCAGCAACUAAACAAGAACAACGUCUAUAUUCAUAGCCAUGUCCAUGGUGUGUUGGGGAGACAGACAGAAAAAAACAGACCAAGUCUGAGAAAGCCUGCAACCCUUCAACCUCAGGCAACUUUCUUAAAGAGAAGUCUUCAAGAUGACAACAUAUGGAUACUACAUCUCCACGCCUUACCCACAGCUGCAAGUCUCCAUAAACUUUGCUUGCACUAACUGCUGGGAAUGAUGACAGCUGGACCAGUCUGGACAAGUGGAAAUGAAUCUGUUGGUUUUUUUUUUUUUUAGGUAAGUAACAAAACCUGACCUUCACUGCCUCAGCUUUCAGACUUCAGAUGAAAUUCAGAGAUCCAGC